UGAAGUGGUGGUGGGUAUAUGGGACAGAAUAAGGCAUUCUAGACACAUCAGAAACCAUCUUCUGCGAUUGUUAUAAAAGCUACAUUUAUUUUGGUAUCCAACCCUCAAGGAUUAGCAAGAAAGGUACAAUUUGUAAGUCCAGCACAGGGUGUGGAAGGUUUGCAUAUACCUAUAAAUUUUUGGUAGUUUAUAUGAACAACAAAAACUAUGACGUUUGACUUUGAUGCUCCAGUAGUAAACAAACAUUGAGAUUUGAGACAUCCAUAUCAAAUGCCUUCUAUAUCAUUAACUAACUAAUAUUUUUAAGGGAUUUAAGGUCAAUUUAGCACGUAGGCUCAAUUAGACACACAAGACAUUUCUAUGGUCAAUUAAUACCUUGAAUUUGGUAAAGAUAUUUCCAGAGUCAAUUGUAUCUUGAAGUUGGCAAAGACAUUUCUAUAGUCAAUUAUAUCCUGAAUUUGUCAAAUUAGAUCAAUUUGACACAAAUCUAGACUGUCCGAACACGCACUGCAAAGGAGCUAGCGAAGGGAAAAUUGACCUUUUGCCCAAAAUGAAUUUUUCCCGCAAGAGGUCCCUUUCCUUUCCUACAUGUCUAUCUCUUGCAUUUUUGGCCCUAAAAAUUGUAUUGUUGUUCUUUUUUCUUACUAUUAUUAUUUUUUUUUAGCUCUAUCUUUAGAGAAUUUGUCACCCUGACUAUUCAUUUUUACCCUAACAUAUAGUUGUUGGACCAGGAUACUGUACUGGAUUUAAGCAACAUAGUUUAAAGUUUUUCAAACAUUCUCCAGCAUCUUUUAAUCAGAAACCAACAAAUAAAGGCUGGGGUGUUUUAAUGGUUUAGUAUCUCAGCAUCCACAGCAAAAAUAAACUGAAAUCAUGACUAAGAAGGGUAAGAGCUUACAAGAGCUUGGCAUUUUUCA
Molecule: unclassified non-coding RNA, 917 nt
Filed under: Hevea brasiliensis (rubber tree)
Lineage: Eukaryota; Viridiplantae; Streptophyta; Magnoliopsida; Malpighiales; Euphorbiaceae
Source: RNAcentral